RNAcentral lists this unclassified non-coding RNA (5680 nucleotides) under Leishmania donovani. RNAcentral's name for it is "gene:LdHU3.06.0670(CDS-product:hypothetical_prote in_conserved)". Lineage: Eukaryota; Euglenozoa; Kinetoplastea; Trypanosomatida; Trypanosomatidae. The record is from RNAcentral.
UAGGACAGAGGGCAUCGGUGUACCCUGCGAUAGACGCGCACCACCACCGCCGCCCCUCUACAACACACUCACACACAAACACACACACACACACACACACUCUGUGUGUGUGUGCAACACCCUGGUAAGGUGGCCCACUACCGGCCUAGUCGCCUACACUAGCAAGACGUAGGCACGCCCAGUCGUGCGCCUCUCAGCCUCUCCCGCCUUUUCCUUUUGCUCUCCGGCCCUGCUCGUCCAUACGACGAGGACGGUCCUCUGAAGCAUAGACGUCUGCGUGGGAGACCCCGUGACACACACGGCAGCGUUAACGAAGGGGGCUGCUGGCAAUGGAGACUGGCCGUCGCCGCCAGGUGCGCAAUGCGCGCCGGCUGCGGCGUCAUCAGCGCAGUGGGGCCGAUGGCAACGAUGCCCAGGAGAGGUGCACCGGCUCGGCCGCUGACAGUGGCCGCUCUAUUCCGCCACCACCCAGCUCUGCCCCAGGUGUGAUGAUGGGCGCUGGCGCAGCGGCAUCUGGAGCUGUUGGUCACCGUACCUCGGUCGUCGCGAGCCGCGACGAGGCGCAGCGACUCUCCGAGCGUAUGAAGCAACAACGACAAGUGAAGAGCCGCGCGGAUCAGAUACUGUCGCAGCGCGAAGCGCUCAUCCGGGAGCGGUACGCGCCAAACGCGGUCGCCGCCACAGCUCAGUGGCAGUCGCAGCAGCAGCAGCAGCAAGCCUCUGCCUACGCUUUCGACAAGGAUGACUUGCUCGCAAACCUUAUCGGCGAGAGCAGAGCGAACUUCCUCAAGCUGGACCACGACCUGACGGAAGACCACACGAUUGCCACGCAUCGGCUGCACACCUCCGUCUUUUCCCACGCGAAGAGCUUCUUGCUUCUGUUCCGCGACGUCGACCGUGCCAGUGACCUCGUUGAAGCCCUCAAGGCCAACGUGCAGGGCACGAAGGCCGCAAUCUCCAGUAUCAGCAAGUACUCUGCGAACUUCGUGGCUGGUGGGUCGAUGUCUUCGGCAGACAAGCUGCCUGGCUCCGCCACCGCCGACGUGCGUGGUUGCAGUGCUGGAAGUGGCAGCGUGUUCAGCGCAGCGCUCGGCGGAACCCCUAGCGAUGGCGAUCCGCGACGGUUCGCACGACCGAGUCUCGUAUCUCGCCGCAUCACGCAGCGCUACGCCUCGGGCGGCAGCAGCGAUAUGGCGUGGCUGAAUGACGGUGAUGCCGGCUUCGGCUGGGGCACCGGAGGCACCGCCAAUACCGGCCCGUCGGCCGCCGCCAGGUCCAGCCGCACCACAACGUGGGCCUCGACGGUGCAUCGCAGCGGCGUGGCGGACGAGGAGGGAGCGGCGGCCGACGGUGGCGCGGAUGCCGUGACCACAAAUGCAGGCGCCUCGCGGCCGACGACGCGCGGGCUGAACGUCUCUUCGGUGCGACAGUGGAGAUACACAAUCGGUAUGGGGACCGGCCUCGCCGCUAGGGGCAGUGCCGGUGACCGCGAGGCGGCGGAGAGCAGACUCACAGCUCCCGGGCGACAGCUGCGAGGUGGGUCUGGGCUGAGGGCUAAGUCCCGCGCAUCGACGGGGCACACCACCACCGCUGCCAGGUCAGAAAAGGAAGCCGCCGACACCACCGCCUUCGUGGACAUCCUGCGCGAGGAGGUGAACCAGCUCCUUACGGAGCGGCGUCAUGUCGACGCCGCGGAACUGCUGUACCGCCUUGCCGACGAGGCGAAGGCGAAGGGGUGCGUGCCGUUCCUGCUGGACCUCGAGGCGGCCCUCGUCAGCAGCGUUAUCACGAACGUUGUCAAGAUUCCAAUCACGCCCAUGUACGUUGAGAGCCUGCACGUGCCGCUGAUUCAGCUGCUCCUCCGCUUCGGCCGCUCCCGCAGCGCGGCUGCCGUGUACCUGACGAUGCAUACAUCGUGGCUGCAUAGCGAGGUGCAGAGAUUGCAGUCGCGCGUGGACCCACAGUACGCCAGCCUCAUCGCCGUUGACUUUCUUGUGCGAGCGACACGGGCGACGGUGCGGCGGCAGCGCACCCUCGGCCUUGCCCUUGCAGCGGCGCGGCCUUUCAUGGAGGACGGUGGCGCCGGCACGGCCGGAGCGGCUGCGGCGGGCAAAACGGACGGAAGGCGACCUGCCGCUGGAGCCAGCCGCGCCACCGCCAGUGAUGCUGCUGGUGCUGUCACAACGCAGAAGCCUGCGCCGCCGAGGGGGGCGACGGCCGCUUCGCCCGGAUCGUGGAUCCCGCCGAACUCGGCUGUGCUGUUGUGGGUGCGCCGCAACGUGGAGCGCUUUGCGUGCGACGUGCUGGCGACGCACCUGCUGAGCUUCGGCAGCGGCACGGACGGCGGCGACCCGACUCGCAUCCGUCAGGCGGCGCAGAUGAUGGCGCAAACUUCCCGCGUGAUGCAGACGCUCAGCAGCGACGGAUUCGCCGGCUGCGACACCCUCAUCAUGCGGCAGCUGACGCCGAGCCUGGUCAUCCUCGAGGACGACUUCACGCGGCUGACCGGGGAGCGGGUGGAGCACGGCGGGCGGGCGAUGAUGGAGCAGCUGAUCAUGGGCAGCCUUGCCUUCUACGAGACGCACGCGGCGAACACGGCGGCCACCGCGACGGCCGCGACGACUGCUGCUACCACGACCGCAGACGUGAAGGCGGCGACAGCAACGCCGCCGCUGUCGCCGAUGCCGGUGCAAUCAGUCUCCCGACUCUGCACGCCUCCCUAUCAGCCCUCCCGCUGCGAUGACGUCGCUCGAAAGGUGCGGGUGCAUUGCCAAGGGCUGGUGCAGCUGAUUCGGUCCCUCCCGCUCUCUGGCCAUUCGCUGCUGGUCCAGUUGCUGCUGGCGCCUGCCUCGUCCUCUUUGUUCAAGAACGUGACCUCAGCUGGCAGCGCAGCGCAGGGCACAUCGUCGCCGUCGAGGCCCGGGCCGGCGACACGGAGCUGCGGGUCCGCCUCCGGCGCGACUGGCGGUGCAGCCGCCUAUCGCACGGGUGGUGGCUGUGGCGCGACGGCGCUGCUCAGCAAGGCUGGCGCGACCUCUGCGGCGCCACCCGCCGCCUCCCUCACCACCCCUCUGUUCUCCACGGCACCGCCGCCGCCGCUGUCGUCGGAGCGCUUCCGGUUCCUGCGCUACGCAAACGGCUGCUCCAGCACGCACGUGCGCCUGUUGCAGUCCUUGUGUGGCUACGUGGCCGCGCUGACGGGGACGGACCAGCUGCCCGCGGAGGUCAUGGCAUCUGCGGCGGCGCAGGAGCAGGAGAGCACCAACUCGGCCGCAGCUAUGGCGAUGCGGAUGCAGCAGGCAGAGUGCGUAGCGUACCUGCUCACGAGCGCGGUAGUGACGGAGUCGAUCGAUGUCGUGCUCUGCAACUUGCUCUCGCACAUGAUGGCGGUACUUCUGCGCCAACGUAAGGCGCUCGUGCGGUUCCUGUCGUCGGAGACGUUCCUGACGAACCACCGCCGUGCCUUUCCAUCGGCGGCCGCGAAGUCAGCCGUGCCCGACGCGCCGUUCUUCUCCGACCCUGCCUCGUCACCGGCGUGGGUGCUGGAUAGCACGCUGUGCCUGCUCUCAGACGUACUCGGCCUCGGUGCGUGGGUGUCGUUCUUCACCAGAGGCGGGGCGAUGGCGCAUAUGCUGGCCGACGCGCAGUUCGGCUUCCGCACGCAGCACUUGGAGCGUGUGCAGUGGGAGAUGCCGCGACUUGUGCAGGGGUGGAUGUGUGCGGCGCUGCUGCUCAACGCCGAUGUGACUCGCGCCAAUACCGUGCUCGCCCCGCCGACGACGUCGGUAAAGGCUUCGGCGCCAUCCACGGCGCCCGGGCGGGGCUCGUCGGUUCCUACACCGCUCUUUUCACCGCAGCAAAGCAUCCUGUUUGGCUCGCAGCCGCCAGACCGCGUCGAUGGCCGGCCGCCGACGCUGUGGUCGAAGAGCAGCGUCUCGUUUUCUGCAGUUGCCGCCGCCGCCGCAACGGCAGCCGGGGCGACAGCGGCCGCUGCGGCAAAGAAGGCGAGCAAGGCCGGCGCAGACGCGGCCUCGGUGCUGCUCUCUAUUCCCAUCACGUCGCCUUCAGCCACGUCGCUGUCCGCAGCGACAGCUGACAAGAGGGAAACCAUCACUGCCCCGUUCUUCGCUGACGCCGGCGUCCGGGAGGAGCGGGUGCUGAAGCUCAUCAUGGCGUUUCUUAAUCGCAAGUACUCUACCCCCGCCGGCUACAUGGUGCACCGCUACGUUGUCGACUCGGCCAAUGCGUCGUCCAACGGGAGCGCGAGCGCCGGGCUGAACGGUGUGUGGGCGAUUCGCAGUCGGCUGAGCAGCUACCCCGAGUUCCCGAUCGGCGAGAUGCGCGAGCACCGCGGCGACGAGGUAUUUCUGUUUCACUGGUGCGUGCAGGUCUCGCUGCACCUGCUCACCUUCUUCCAGGAGCGCCUUAUCACGCCGAGUUACGUGAUGAACCAGCGCGCAGCAGAGGUGCAGGGCGGCAUGACGUCCUUUCUGAAUGCUGGGCUGCCCUUCCCUUUGAAAGGCUGCAUCACGCCGCAGGAGGACACUGUACUUGCCGGGUGGUGCGCCGGCGGUGGCAACUACGUGACAGCUGUGGCACUGUUGCAGUUUUUAGUGAUGCGGGUGCUGCGCGACGGUCUUUGCCGUGCUGACACGUGGUCGGCGGUGUACGGCUGCCCCAUGGCGCAGUGGCGCAGCGACGAGGCGGUGCUGCGGCAGCAGCUCUUCUUCUUCUCGCUCUUCGCUUACCUGUGGGCGCCGCUGUUUACUGGCGGUCGCACACCGCGAGCGCGCGCAGCCGCGGCCGGCUCGUCUCCGGCCAAGGAGGAGGCGCCGGUGAGUUCGUAUGUGGUGGACGGUCUUCCCUCGCUGGCGGUGCUGGAGUGGAUGACGUGCGGUGGGGUGCUCAACCCUUCGACGAACGCGGAUUCCGUUGCUGCAGCGAUGGCGUCUGCCGCGCUCGCCACUAUACCGGCCAACCUCACUGCCGUGGAUGUGCUGUUUGCCACAGAGGGCACCAUCCACAUGUCAUCGGGAGGCGACGAAGGCGCGGGUGCUGGUGCUGCGUGCGCUGCUCACUCUGCAACUGGCGGUGGUGCGGCGUCAUGGAGGGCUAAGGCGGCCGGCAGAGGUACCACAGCGCCGGCGGCGGUGACAGGUGCAUCGGUCGCCUCGCCGGCAACGCCCACCAACGCGAUGCUGGCAAAGCGCGAGCUCUUCGGCUCAUGCGCUUCCUACAUUCCAGAUGGCCCGUUGCGGGUGCUUCGACACUUUUUCGAGGAGCAGCUGGGCGAAAGUCGCGCCGCUCGCGCCAUCACGUCGGAUGUCAUGCGCACCCGCGUCGAGCGAGCCAUGGCGGAGAUCAACCUACUUGACUUUGUCGGCACAUCGCUCGGCGUGGGCGACGAGGGGGAGAGCGAGGAUGAAGCCACUUCAUCGACGGCGACCCGCUCCACCGCAGGCGCCGGUUCAGCGAACAGGAUGUCGCCGUCGUCGCAGAAGGUGACCUUGCAGAACUUGCGAGACUUGAUUGCCGUGUACACAGUGCCGCUUUCUUAGCCGCACAGCGGCAGUCGAUGCGCUGCUGUAGUUUGUGUGGCUGUGCACCCCAUAAUGGCAGCAGCUUGCUUGCGUGAGUCUUUGUGUCAAAGCCUUUUCUUUGUCUUCGCCCCACUUUCGCC